This 707-nucleotide ribosomal RNA is filed under the name uncultured bacterium. RNAcentral's name for it is "bacterial SSU rRNA". It matches the Rfam family "Bacterial small subunit ribosomal RNA", at positions 141 to 851 of the family's 1533-position model. The record is from RNAcentral.
GGAUAACACUGAGAAAUUGGUACUAAUACCCCAUAAUAUCAUAGAAGGCAUCUUUUAUGGUUGAAAAUUCCGAUGGUUAGAGAUGGGCAUGCGUUGUAUUAGCUAGUUGGUGGGGUAACGGCUCACCAAGGCGACGAUACAUAGGGGGACUGAGAGGUUAACCCCCCACACUGGUACUGAGACACGGACCAGACUCCUACGGGAGGCAGCAGUGAGGAAUAUUGGUCAAUGGACGCAAGUCUGAACCAGCCAUGCCGCGUGCAGGAUGACGGCUCUAUGAGUUGUAAACUGCUUUUGUACGAGGGUAAACGCAGAUACGUGUAUCUGUCUGAAAGUAUCGUACGAAUAAGGAUCGGCUAACUCCGUGCCAGCAGCCGCGGUAAUACGGAGGAUUCAAGCGUUAUCCGGAUUUAUUGGGUUUAAAGGGUGCGUAGGCGGUUUGAUAAGUUAGAGGUGAAAUUUCGGGGCUCAACCCUGAACGUGCCUCUAAUACUGUUGAGCUAGAGAGUAGUUGCGGUAGGCGGAAUGUAUGGUGUAGCGGUGAAAUGCUUAGAGAUCAUACAGAACACCGAUUGCGAAGGCAGCUUACCAAACUAUAUCUGACGUUGAGGCACGAAAGCGUGGGGAGCAAACAGGAUUAGAUACCCUGGUAGUCCACGCAGUAAACGAUGAUAACUCGUUGUCGGCGAUACAAGUCGGUGACUAAG